Molecule: ribosomal RNA, 480 nt
Filed under: Metschnikowia sp. (in: budding yeasts & allies)
Lineage: Eukaryota; Fungi; Ascomycota; Pichiomycetes; Serinales; Metschnikowiaceae
Description: Metschnikowia sp. (in: Fungi) partial large subunit ribosomal RNA
Rfam family: Eukaryotic large subunit ribosomal RNA
Source: RNAcentral
AAGCGGAGGAAAAGAAACCAACAGGGAUUGCCUCAGUAACGGCGAGUGAAGCGGCAAAAGCUCAAAUUUGAAAUCCCCCGGGAAUUGUAAUUUGAAGAGAUUUGGGUCCGGCCGGCAGGGGUUAAGUCCACUGGAAAGUGGCGCCACAGAGGGUGACAGCCCCGUGAACCCCUUUAAAGCCCUCAUCCCAGAUCUCCAAGAGUCGAGUUGUUUGGGAAUGCAGCUCUAAGUGGGUGGUAAAUUCCAUCUAAAGCUAAAUACCGGCGAGAGACCGAUAGCGAACAAGUACAGUGAUGGAAAGAUGAAAAGCACUUUGAAAAGAGAGUGAAAAAGUACGUGAAAUUGUUGAAAGGGAAGGGCUUGCAAGCAGACACUUAACUGGGCCAGCAUCGGGGCGGCGGGGAGCAAAACCACCGGGGAAUGUACCUUUCGAGGAUUAUAACCCCGGUCCUUACUCCCUCACCAUCCCGAGGCCUGCAA